GACGAACGCUGGCGGCGUGCUUAACACAUGCAAGUCGAACGGAAAGGCCCGGCUUUUGUUGGGUGCUCGAGUGGCGAACGGGUGAGUAACACGUGAGUAACCUGCACUUGACUUUGGGAUAACUUCAGGAAACUGGGGCUAAUACCCGAUAGGAGAUCCUGCUGCAUGGUGGGGGUUGGAAAGUUUCGGCGGUUGUGGAUCGACUCGAGGCUUAUCAGCUUGUUGGUGGGGUAGUGGCUUACGAAGGCUUUGACGGGUAGCCGGCCUGAGAGGGUGACCGGCCACAUUAGGCCUACGAUACGGCCCAGACGCCUACGGGAGGCAGUAGUCGGGAGUAUUACACAAUGGCCGGAAGCCUGAUGCAGAAACGCCGCGUGCGGGAUGACGGCCUUCGGGUUGUAAACCGCUUUCGCCUGUGACGAAGCGUGAGUGACGGUAAUGGGUAAAGAAGCACCGGCUAACUACGUG
Molecule: ribosomal RNA, 468 nt
Filed under: uncultured bacterium
Lineage: Bacteria
Description: partial 16S ribosomal RNA
Rfam family: Bacterial small subunit ribosomal RNA
Source: RNAcentral